AUGCCGCAUCGGACGACAAUGAAAUCUAGAGAGGCUCUAUGGCUCAGGUCGCCACGAAACCAGCGGCCCAUCCGGCACCUUGUGACACAAGUGAAGGAAACAACAUGCAAGGUGUACAGAAACAGCGUGGGAUCGACCAGAACGAUACCGCCUGGGCCGGAUGAAGAAGCAACUGAGAUGGAAUUAUGGAAGAAGAGGCUAACACCACACACAUCCAGAUUUCAUGGCGUGAUUGGCCCACUUGAACACAAACCACAGGACGUCAACAACACAGGGCCUAUGGAACCUUGUCCUCUGGUCCAACCAUUGCUUCUCCUCGUGACACCUGUGGUCUACGGUGACAGGGCCUUGGCUGGCGGCUAA
This 363-nucleotide ribosomal RNA is filed under the name Triticum aestivum (bread wheat). RNAcentral's name for it is "partial small subunit ribosomal RNA". Lineage: Eukaryota; Viridiplantae; Streptophyta; Magnoliopsida; Poales; Poaceae. The record is from RNAcentral.